Molecule: long non-coding RNA, 382 nt
Filed under: Fukomys damarensis (Damara mole-rat)
Lineage: Eukaryota; Metazoa; Chordata; Mammalia; Rodentia; Bathyergidae
Description: lncRNA (ENSFDAG00000026621.1)
Source: RNAcentral
CAAUUACUGAUUUAUCAUACUAUGGAUGUUGUCUUUCUUUUGUUGGUAACAUUCAUGAGAAAGCUAAAGAUGCUUACAAAGCCACGCAGUGCUUUGGGGAAGAGAUGAGAAGAGCAGGGUGAAGGACAAAAAGCAGAGCCAAGGAUGUUGCUGCACCUUCUGGCCCUGCCGGUUGACUCGGUGUUGCUGAUAAUCUCCAGGGCUUGAGACAGAAGAUGAGCCACCGGUUUUCAAGCUCAAAGGUAUGUGUAACUGGACUUCCGGAACUUGAGUUACGCUGACUUCAUCCGGGUGCAGGUGUCUACUAGCAGGUUGGCCACACAGAUUGAAAUUUGGGGGUUUGAAAUUUAGCUGGAUAAAGAUAUAGGAAUUGAUAGCUGCU